This 72-nucleotide transfer RNA is filed under the name Dictyocaulus viviparus (bovine lungworm). It matches the Rfam family "tRNA". From Rfam's summary of the family: Transfer RNA (tRNA) molecules are approximately 80 nucleotides in length. Their secondary structure includes four short double-helical elements and three loops (D, anti-codon, and T loops). Further hydrogen bonds mediate the characteristic L-shaped molecular structure. tRNAs have two regions of fundamental functional importance: the anti-codon, which is responsible for specific mRNA codon recognition, and the 3' end, to which the tRNAs corresponding amino acid is attached (by aminoacyl-tRNA synthetases). tRNAs cope with the degeneracy of the genetic code in two manners: having more than one tRNA (with a specific anti-codon) for a particular amino acid; and 'wobble' base-pairing, i.e. permitting non-standard base-pairing at the 3rd anti-codon position. Lineage: Eukaryota; Metazoa; Nematoda; Chromadorea; Rhabditida; Metastrongylidae. The record is from Rfam by way of RNAcentral.
GUAUGAUUGGCUCAGUGGCAUAGAGUCUGUCUAGUAAACAGAAGGUCGCUGGUUCGAUUCCAGCAUGAGGCA